RNAcentral lists this transfer RNA (74 nucleotides) under Thalassovita sp. RNAcentral describes it as "tRNA-Gly". It matches the Rfam family "tRNA". Rfam says of the family: Transfer RNA (tRNA) molecules are approximately 80 nucleotides in length. Their secondary structure includes four short double-helical elements and three loops (D, anti-codon, and T loops). Lineage: Bacteria; Pseudomonadati; Pseudomonadota; Alphaproteobacteria; Rhodobacterales; Roseobacteraceae. The record is from RNAcentral.
AGGUUGUUGGUACAAUUUGGAAGCACGCCUGCCCGCCAAGCAGGAGGUUACAGGUUCGAAUCCUGUACAACCUG